RNAcentral lists this ribosomal RNA (898 nucleotides) under uncultured bacterium. Its description in RNAcentral is "bacterial SSU rRNA". It matches the Rfam family "Bacterial small subunit ribosomal RNA", at positions 630 to 1528 of the family's 1533-position model. The record is from RNAcentral.
AAACUAGGUGGCUAGAGGGCGAUAGGGGCAGAGGGAAUUCCCGGUGUAGCGGUGAAAUGCGUAGAGAUCGGGAAGAACACCAGUGGCGAAAGCGCUCUGCUGGGUCGCACCUGACCCUGAGGGACGAAAGCUAGGGGAGCGAAAGGGAUUAGAUACCCCUGUAGUCCUAGCCGUAAACGAUGGAUACUAGGUGUCGCGCGUAUCGACCCGUGCGGUGCCGUAGCCAACGCGAUAAGUAUCCCGCCUGGGGAGUACGCACGCAAGUGUGAAACUCAAAGGAAUUGACGGGGGCCCGCACAAGCGGUGGAGUAUGUGGUUUAAUUCGAUGCAACGCGAAGAACCUUACCAGGGCUUGACAUGUCGCGAACCCUGCGGAAACGUGGGGGUGCCUUCGGGAGCGCGAACACAGGUGGUGCAUGGCUGUCGUCAGCUCGUGUCGUGAGAUGUUGGGUUAAGUCCCGCAACGAGCGCAACCCUCGUUCUUAGUUGCCAGCAUUCAGUUGGGCACUCUAGGGAGACUGCCGGUGAUAAACCGGAGGAAGGUGGGGAUGACGUCAAGUCAUCAUGCCCCUUACGUCCUGGGCGACACACGUACUACAAUGGUCGAGACAGAGGGUAGCCAACCCGCGAGGGGGAGCCAAUCUCACAAACUCGGCUUCAGUUCAGAUUGCAGGCUGCAACUCGCCUGCAUGAAGGAGGAAUCGCUAGUAAUCGCAGGUCAGCAUACUGCGGUGAAUACGUUCCCGGGCCUUGUACACACCGCCCGUCACACCAUGGGAGCUGGCCACGCCCGAAGUCGUUACUCUAACCUUAGGGAGGGGGACGCCGAAGGCAGGGCUGGUGACUGGGGUGAAGUCGUAACAAGGUAGCCGUACCGGAAGGUGUGGCUGGAUCACCU